This 296-nucleotide long non-coding RNA is filed under the name Fragaria vesca (wild strawberry). RNAcentral describes it as "long non-coding RNA (FVES_LNC004146)". Lineage: Eukaryota; Viridiplantae; Streptophyta; Magnoliopsida; Rosales; Rosaceae. The record is from RNAcentral.
AUAUAUAUAUAUAUAUAUAUAUAUAUAUAUAUAUAUUCAUGUUUGAUUUAAGCUUCUGACUUUAUAUCAUUAAUAUUCACCGAUAUAACAUAAACCAAUGGAAUAUAUGUUAUUAAAUCGUAACAUACAAACUUAAUGUGAAAGUAAUUAUAUGAAACCGAAAUAAAUUAAAUUAUAACGGAAACAAUUUAAUUCUCAUCGACAUAAUGUAUAUGCAAUAAAAUUACUAAACCAAUAAAUGUCAAUAAUGUAGCGGUUACUUGCAAAACUAACUCAUUUGCAUCUCCAAUUACUUC